This is an RNA transcript of Dicentrarchus labrax (European seabass), 1418 nucleotides long. It is a transcript of the gene named jumonji domain containing 8, with no coding region annotated. The record is from RefSeq and is a predicted model, not a curated record. NCBI's taxonomy places the organism in Eukaryota, Metazoa, Chordata, Actinopteri, Moronidae. The transcript is spliced from 9 exons.
GCGAAACGGCAGCUAAAGCUUUGCUAUGACUGGAGCUGAGGCUGGCUGUAGUUAAUUAGAGUCUGCGGUGAUUAAAGUCUGAAUGGAAGAUAAUAAAGUUGUAUUAAACACGUUUGUUUUGUUAUGUUUCAUCGUGCUGAAGGCGGAGCAGCUGUCCGGGGACGGAGGAGGCUGGUCUGAUUCAGAGUUCAGACUGGAGGAUGAAGGUCGUUGUAACAUCGAUGUGUGGGACAGCUCUUCGCUCUCCCAUCAGCAGUUCAUUGAAAGAUACGCGUACAGCCGACCGGUGAUCCUCAGAGGCCUCACUGAUAACACGAAGUUCAGGUCGUUGUGCUCCAGGUGGAGUUUACUAGAAGAGUACGGGGACCGGAGAGUGCGGCUCAGUACUGCUAACACUUACUCUUACAGGAAAGUGGACGUCCCCUUUCAGGAGUAUGUGGACAUUUUACUGAGGCCUCAGUCUGCGGACGCUCUCGGCAGCGACACGCUGUAUUUCUUCGGAGACAACAACUUCACCGAGUGGCAGAGUUUGUUCGAGCACUACAAGUCUCCGCCGUACUUCCUGCCUCACACCACCGGAGCGUUCAGCUUCGGGAUCGCAGAUGUGGUGUUUGGUCUGCAGGUCCAGGAACAGGAGUCCCGUUUCACUGGCACGGUCCCGGUUACUCCGAGGUCAUCUAUGGAAGAAAGCGCUGGUUCCUCUACCCGCCCGAUCAGGAGCCUCAUUUCCACCCGAACCGGACCACGUUGUCCUGGGUGACCGAGAUCUACCCCAACCUGCCCGAGGACGAGGCCCCGCUGGAGUGCACCAUCAGACCUGGAGAGGUUCUGUAUUUCCCCGACCGCUGGUGGCACGCCACUCUCAACCUGGACACCAGCGUCUUCAUCUCCACCUUCCUCGGCUGAGCUUCUUCUUCAGCUCUGCAGUAUUUCCUGUGUUUGAUGUUUCAGAGCGAUGAACUGUCGAGUGUUGGGAUCAUAUUUCAGUCUGAAGCAGAGGCGGAUCUAAAGAUUAUAAGAAAAUGUAAAUUAACUCAUAUCAUUUACUGAUUUUUUUAGACUGAAGUGAGAUGUGUUUCACCUUUAUAGAUAUAUUUCUAUUCAAAGCUUCACUAAUGUGCCACAAUCAUCAAGUUAAAAUAUCUUUUCCAAGCAAAUAUUGGUUUAUGUGAUCGAUUGUGGAUGAAUAUUUCCUCCACAUUUACAUUCCAGGUGAAUCUUUUAAACAAAGAUUGUAUUUAAUGACCAAAAGGAGCUAAAAGUGACAACGUAAUGUCGGGAUCAAUAUGUGUGAGUGAUGAGUUAUUGAUCUGUGUCAUCGUAUUAUUUUUAUCAGCCGGUUGAACUUGAAGCAAGAAAGCAGAACACGUCUGUUCCAGCCACUGUUGUUGUUUCAGGAAUAAAAAUUAUUAUUUAAA